ACCUAGGAAUUGCUUUUAAAACUUCUGUUCUGGAAUUCAGGAGAGGAAAAUGGAAUUUCCAGUGUAGAGGUGAAAUUCGUAGAUAUUGGAAGGAACACCAGUGGCGAAGGCGAUUUUCUGGACUGAUAUUGACGCUGAGAUGCGAAGGCAUGGGUAGCAAACGGGAUUAGAUACCCCGGUAGUCCAUGCAGUAAACGAUGGGUGCUAGUCGUCGGACUUUUGUUCGGUGUCGUAGCUAACGCGUUAAGCACCCCGCCUGGGGAGUACGGUCGCAAGAUUAAAACUCAAAUAAAUUGACGGGGACCCGCACAAGCAGUGGAGCAUGUGGUUUAAUUCGACGCAACGCGAAGAACCUUACCAGCGUUUGACAUGGAAAGUGCCGGUUACAGAAUGGUAACCUUCAGUUCGGCUGGCUUUCGCACAGGUGCUGCAUGGCUGUCGUCAGCUCGUGUCGUGAGAUGUUGGGUUAAGUCCCGCAACGAGCGCAACCCUUAUCGUUAGUUACUAACAGUUCGGCUGAGGACUCUAGCGAAACUGCCGGUGAUAAGCCGGAGGAAGGUGGGGAUGACGUCAAGUCCUCAUGGCCCUUACACGCUGGGCUACACACGUGCUACAAUGGUAAUUACAACGGGACGCAAUACCGCGAGGUGGAGCUAAUCCCCAAAAGUUAUCUCAGUUCGGAUUGCACUCUGCAACUCGAGUGCAUGAAGUUGAAAUCGCUAGUAAUCGUAGAUCAGCGUGCUACGGUGAAUACGUUCUCGGGCCUUGUACACACCGCCCGUCACGCCAUGGGAGUUGGUUUUACCUUAAGCCGGUGCGCUAACCGCAAGGAAGCAGCCGUCCACGGUAGGGUCAGCGACUGGGGCGAAGUCGUAACAAGGUAGCCG
RNAcentral lists this ribosomal RNA (887 nucleotides) under uncultured bacterium. RNAcentral describes it as "bacterial SSU rRNA". It matches the Rfam family "Bacterial small subunit ribosomal RNA", at positions 612 to 1502 of the family's 1533-position model. The record is from RNAcentral.